This is a long non-coding RNA of Scleropages formosus (Asian bonytongue), 422 nucleotides long. RefSeq lists it as uncharacterized. Lineage: Eukaryota; Metazoa; Chordata; Actinopteri; Osteoglossiformes; Osteoglossidae. The transcript has 3 exons. The record is from RefSeq and is a predicted model, not a curated record.
ACCAGCAAAGACUGAAGCGCGGAAGAAGGAACUACCAUGAGCGCGCAGCACCGAGGAUGGGUACGCCCAUCUGUGAAGAAGAUGGAAAUGUUCAUGGCUCUAGAGAAAAAGAACAGAGCCAUCCUGGUGAAGAGCAGCAAAAUUUUCAUUGAAAAAUCUUUACACUUCAUUUCGUCACUUAUGAAAAAUAAAAAGCUUGCAUCUCAGCAGGGACAAGCUACAUGCAAGAGAUUCUGCACAGCAUUUUCUUCCUUGGCCUAAUUAACAGACCAAGGAUAAACCCUGAAGAUGUUCUGAAUGAAGAACUUGCCUUAAAGUUAAGACAGAAAUUUCCAGAUGCAUUUCAGAUAUACAGAACUAAACUACCCUCAAGACCACCAUACUCAAUUCUGCUAGAUGUGGUAAAAGAAUGCUCAUCUUCA